GACGAACGCUGGCGGCGUGCUUAACACAUGCAAGUCGAACGGAAAGGCCCUGCUUUUGUGGGGUGCUCGAGUGGCGAACGGGUGAGUAACACGUGAGUAACCUGCCCUUGACUUUGGGAUAACUUCAGGAAACUGGGGCUAAUACCGGAUAGGAGCUCCUGCUGCAUGGUGGGGGUUGGAAAGUUUCGGCGGUUGGGGAUGGACUCGCGGCUUAUCAGCUUGUUGGUGGGGUAGUGGCUUACCAAGGCUUUGACGGGUAGCCGGCCUGAGAGGGUGACCGGCCACAUUGCGACUGAGAUACGGCCCAGACUCCUACGGGAGGCAGCAGUGGGGAGUAUUGCACAAUGGGCGGAAGCCUGAUGCAGCAACGCCGCGUGCGGGAUGACGGCCUUCGGGUUGUAAACCGCUUUCGCCUGUGACGAAGCGUGAGUGACGGUAAUGGGUAAAGAAGCACCGGCUAACUACGUG
RNAcentral lists this ribosomal RNA (468 nucleotides) under uncultured bacterium. RNAcentral's name for it is "partial 16S ribosomal RNA". It matches the Rfam family "Bacterial small subunit ribosomal RNA", at positions 28 to 507 of the family's 1533-position model. The record is from RNAcentral.